UCUCAUAUCAGUCAACUCUACUUUUCUCUCUUUUAUCUUCCUCAAUCUUUAUUUCCGAUUCUUAGUCUUGUUCUUCAGUCCUUUCUUUUCCCUCUUCCUCUUUCUUCUCUUAUUUUUGUCCUUCAUUCUUUUCUUUUCCCUCUUCCUCAUACUCCCUUUUCUCCGUUUGUACUUGCUAUUCACGCUGUUCUUUUCCCUUCUCCUCUUCUUCUUUAUCCUCUUGUUCUUGCCGUUCAUUCUAUUUCCUCUUCCUCCUUUUGUUCUUCCUCUUUAAAUGAUUCCUUUCCCUCUUUCUCUUCUUCUUGUUCAUCCCCUUUACGGUUCCCUCCUCCAUCCUCUUCCUCGUAGCCGGCAGCCGAGUAUUACACACCUCUCUACCCCUCUCCUCAGCAACACCCCGUCACUGAUAAUCCUCGCUACAGCCUCAGGACCAUAUUAUUAAACGCAUCGGGCUCCCAUCACGGCUUUAUACUUCCAAAGGUCAUAGAGAAGGUGACCGGGUUUCCAUAGGUGAUUUUCCCGUUUAAGAUCCAGAAGAGUAAAACAAUCACUGGGAUCGCAAAACAGACUAUGAGUACCCCCAACAACUACUACGAGAGGCUUUUCAAACAGGUGAACUGAGGUGCCGAUAUGUUGAAGCUAGAAUACGGGCUUCAACCUCGCCCUUUCAGCAGUCGUGUGAUCGGGGUGCUGCUAUAGCUAAAUGCCGCUCAGGUCCCCGCUAGCUAAAUGCCGCUCAGGUCCCCGCUAGCUAAAUGCCGCUCAGGUCCCCGCUAGCUAAAUGCCGCUCAGGUCCCCGCUAGCUAAAUGCCGCUCAGGUCCCCGCUAGCUAAAUGCCGCUCAGGUCCCCGCUAGCUAAAUGCCGCUCAGGUCCCCGCUAGCUAAAUGCCGCUCAGGUACCCGCUAGCCAAAUGCCGCUCAGGUC
Long non-coding RNA from Eriocheir sinensis (Chinese mitten crab), 925 nucleotides. RefSeq lists it as uncharacterized. The record is from RefSeq and is a predicted model, not a curated record. Lineage: Eukaryota; Metazoa; Arthropoda; Malacostraca; Decapoda; Varunidae. The transcript has 3 exons.